This 574-nucleotide ribosomal RNA is filed under the name uncultured bacterium. Its description in RNAcentral is "partial 16S ribosomal RNA". It matches the Rfam family "Bacterial small subunit ribosomal RNA", at positions 355 to 923 of the family's 1533-position model. The record is from RNAcentral.
UGGGGAAUUUUGGACAAUGGGCGAAAGCCUGAUCCAGCAAUGCCGCGUGUGUGAAGAAGGCCUUCGGGUUGUAAAGCACUUUUGUCCGGAAAGAAAUCCUUGGCUCUAAUACAGUCGGGGGAUGACGGUACCGGAAGAAUAAGCACCGGCUAACUACGUGCCAGCAGCCGCGGUAAUACGUAGGGUGCAAGCGUUAAUCGGAAUUACUGGGCGUAAAGCGUGCGCAGGCGGUUUGCUAAGACCGAUGUGAAAUCCCCGGGCUCAACCUGGGAACUGCAUUGGUGACUGGCAGGCUAGAGUAUGGCAGAGGGGGGUAGAAUUCCACGUGUAGCAGUGAAAUGCGUAGAGAUGUGGAGGAAUACCGAUGGCGAAGGCAGCCCCCUGGGCCAAUACUGACGCUCAUGCACGAAAGCGUGGGGAGCAAACAGGAUUAGAUACCCUGGUAGUCCACGCCCUAAACGAUGUCAACUAGUUGUUGGGGAUUCAUUCCUUAGUAACGUAGCUAACGCGUGAAGUUGACCGCCUGGGGAGUACGGUCGCAAGAUUAAAACUUAAAUGAAUUGACGGGGUCAUA